GACGAACGCUGGCGGCGUGCUUAACACAUGCAAGUCGAACGGUAAGGCCCUGCUUUUGUGGUGUGCUCGAGUGGCGAAGGGGUGAGUGACAUGUGUGUAAACUGGCCUGGACGUUGGGAUUACUUCAUGGAACUGGGGCUAAAAACGGAUAAAAGCCCCUGGUGCAAAGUGGGGGUUGUAAGGGUUCGGUGGCUGGGGAUGUACCCAGGGGUUAUUAGCUUGUUGGUGGGGUAGUGGCUUACCAAGGCGUCGACGGAUAGCCGGCCUGAGAGGGUGACCGGGGACAUUGGGACUGAGAUACGCAGCAGACGCGUAUGUGAGGCAGUAGUGGGGAGUAUUGCACAAUGAGCGGGAGCGUGAGAAAGAGACGUUCGGUGCGGGAUGACCGUUCUGGGGUUAUAAACGGGUUUCGCCUGAGAAGAAGGUUGAGUGACGGUAAUGGCUAAAGAAGCACCGGCUAACUCCGUG
Molecule: ribosomal RNA, 468 nt
Filed under: uncultured bacterium
Lineage: Bacteria
Description: partial 16S ribosomal RNA
Rfam family: Bacterial small subunit ribosomal RNA
Source: RNAcentral